Molecule: ribosomal RNA, 253 nt
Filed under: uncultured bacterium
Lineage: Bacteria
Description: partial 16S ribosomal RNA
Rfam family: Bacterial small subunit ribosomal RNA
Source: RNAcentral
UACGGAGGGGGCGAGCGUUAUUCGGAAUUAUUGGGCGUAAAGGGCUCGUAGGCGGCCAACUAAGUCAUACGUGAAAUCCCUCGGCUUAACCGGGGAACUGCGUCUGAUACUGGAUGGCUUGAGUUCGGGAGAGGGAUGCGGAAUUCCAGGUGUAGCGGUGAAAUGCGUAGAUAUCUGGAGGAACACCGGUGGCGAAGGCGGCAUCCUGGACCGAUACUGACGCUGAGGAGCGAAAGCCAGGGGAGCAAACGGG